Molecule: ribosomal RNA, 656 nt
Filed under: Tilletiopsis sp.
Lineage: Eukaryota; Fungi; Basidiomycota; Exobasidiomycetes; Entylomatales
Description: SSU rRNA
Rfam family: Eukaryotic small subunit ribosomal RNA
Source: RNAcentral
UUUGUACUGUGAAACUGCGAAUGGCUCAUUAAAUCAGUUAUAGUUUAUUUGAUGGUAUCUUGCUACAUGGAUAACUGUGGUAAAUCUAGAGCUAAUACAUGCUUAAAAGCCCCGACUUCUGGAAGGGGUGUAUUUAUUAGAUAAAAACCAACCCUUCGGGUCCCUUGGUGAAUCAUAAUAACUUCUCGAAUCGCAUGGCCUUGCGCCGGCGAUGCUUCAUUCAAAUAUCUGCCCUAUCAACUGUCGAUGGUAGGAUAGAGGCCUACCAUGGUUGCAACGGGUAACGGGGAAUAAGGGUUCGAUUCCGGAGAGGGAGCCUGAGAAACGGCUACCACAUCCAAGGAAGGCAGCAGGCGCGCAAAUUACCCAAUCCCGACACGGGGAGGUAGUGACAAUAAAUAACAAUAUAGGGCUUUUAUAGGUCUUAUAAUUGGAAUGAGUACAAUUUAAAUCCCUUACGAGGAACAAUUGGAGGGCAAGUCUGGUGCCAGCAGCCGCGGUAAUUCCAGCUCCAAUAGCGUAUAUUAAAGUUGUUGCAGUUAAAAAGCUCGUAGUUGAACUUCAGGCCUGGCCGGUCGGUCCGCUUCACAGCGUGUACUGCUUGGCCGGGCCUUCCCUCUAGGUGAUCCGGCAUGCUCUUUACUGGGUGUGUCGGG